RNAcentral lists this ribosomal RNA (492 nucleotides) under uncultured bacterium. Its description in RNAcentral is "partial 16S ribosomal RNA". It matches the Rfam family "Bacterial small subunit ribosomal RNA", at positions 29 to 507 of the family's 1533-position model. The record is from RNAcentral.
AGUGAACGCUGGCGGUAGGCCUAACACAUGCAAGUCGAACUGCAGCACAGUAAGAGCUUGCUCUUACGGGUGGCGAGUGGCGGACGGGUGAGGAAUCCAUCGGAAUCUACUUUUUCGUGGGGGCUAACGUAGGGAAACUUACGCUCAUACCGCAUACGACCUACGGGUGAAAGCAUGGGAUCUUCGGACCUUGCGCGAUUGAAUGAGCCGAUGUCGGAUUAGCUAGGUGGCGGGGUAAAGGCCCACCAAGGCGACGAUCCGUAGCUGGUCUGAGAGGAUGAUCAGCCACACGGGAACUGAGACACGGUCCAGACUCCUACGGGAGGCAGCAGGGGGGAAUAUUGGACAAUGGGCGCAAGCCUGAUCCAGCCAUACCGCGUGGGUGAAGAAGGCCUUCGGGUUGUAAAGCCCUUUUGUUGGGAAAGAAAAGCAGCAGGUUAAUACCCCGCUGUUCUGACGGUACCCAAAGAAUAAGCACCGGCUAACUUCGUG